RNA transcript from Aedes albopictus (Asian tiger mosquito), 11878 nucleotides. RefSeq lists it as uncharacterized. NCBI's taxonomy places the organism in Eukaryota, Metazoa, Arthropoda, Insecta, Diptera, Culicidae. The transcript has 2 exons. The record is from RefSeq and is a predicted model, not a curated record.
GUGUGGUUCCCUACAAAGAAUUCAAUCCCAGCUGGCACUCUACAUAGAUACAUCAUUACAUGAUUGCACUCUUGUCCAAGAUAAUCAACAACAGUUGGAAUCGGACUGUGCCGGCGUGGCGGUCGCACUUACUAACUAGGUGGUGCACGUGAAUGCAAUGGUACCACCACCGCAGCUGCUACCACAGAUCAGAACGCGUGAAUAAAUGUGUUUCUCGUCACCGGCGCGGUUUAAUCUUCGUUUUCAACACCCGUCCGUUAACUCUGAUCUACUAGCCAACCACAUGUCGCCCGAGGUGGUGGCGGCAUCUAACGCGUUGAUUGAGACACGCGCCACUGCAUAUAAUGAAUAAUUUAUGUUAUUAGUGUUGCACACGGGGAAAGACGUCUUUUUAUGCAGUUUUUUCACUGAUUUUUGCAUAGGUACUCGUAACUUGAACUCAGUAACCUGUCGAAGUGGAGUUCGAGCCACAGACAUGCAUACGUCACUCGUCUUCGCUGACCUAUUUGCUGUUUGAAUCUAAUAUUCGGUGAGUAGCCGAUUAGCUACACUGGUGGCACUUCCAUAAUGUUUUCUUUUGGUUGACAUUUGCUAGAUACUGUCGUUUAUAGUGGCCGAUUGGCCAAAAGCAGUAUUGACCCAUAAUGACAUCGACUAUGAAGCUCCACGUUGGAGAUCCAAUUGUGAGGCCACCAUGAACGAAUUAUUUAUAUAGCGCUGGCAUCUAUUCACAAAGACCUGCAGCCAUUGAUUAUUAUCCACUGAUACACACCAGGCUUCACUGGCGUACAGCAGCAUACAUUUCAUGUUUGGUUUGGAAAUUCGGGAUUUGGAACGGUCGACUAAUCUGACUGUUUUUCAUGCAUUCCUUACACUCGCAAAAGUAGGUCCCGGAUGACCUGUUGGUCGAAGUUGUGGUAACGUGCCUUUUACCGAACGAAAGACUCACCAUCGAGUGUUUUAUUUCGGCCGGACGUGGACUUUGGAUGUUCUCGUUCUCUGAGGACCGUGGAGAAUCAUCCGUAGGAACUUAUUUCGGACUCAUUAAAGUUUUCAGUGGUGGGUUUUGGCACAGCUCUCCCAAACUGGGAGGCCACAUUCGAUUACUAGUAAGAUGAUCUGUUUGUAGACAGCAAGUUUGUUCUUCUGGGACAAAGUCGACUUACAGUUGGUGAGAAGGUAAAGGGCUUUUAGCAAGAUGUUACUUUUGGAGACCGUCUUGUCGAACUAUUUUCUGAACAGCAGUUUGCUGUUUUAGGUGAGGCCAUGAUAGUCAACCACGUUCGACCAUUGCACCAAGGAGGGUGAUUUUUUCAUCCUCAGCUGGAACAAUUCCGAGGGGUACGGAAUGGAUGAAGAGGAUGACCUGGGUGUUCAGCGCGUUUACAUAAAGCUUUCAGCUGGCGAAGUACUCAGUCAGGACAUUCAGUCAGGCUUCUUUCCAGUGGUGACGUGAGCGCUCGUGUGACCCUUGUGAACGACUGCGAUGUCAUCGGCGAACAACAACAGAUCCGUUUUCGUGGAGUUUGGACAUGUCCGAGGUGAACAGCUUGAACAGAAGUGGACCUAGUAUGCUUCCCUAUGGAGCACCGGUGGACACAUCUUGCGCGUCAGAGACUGACUGCAUCAUGCCUUGUGCUAUUUUCAGUAGGUAGCUUGAAAUAUUGUAUCGAUGAUAUUGUAGCUUGUAAAUCAGACCGUCGUGCCAGACCUUGCCAACAGUCUCUUCAACUUCGAACAAGGCCACAUACUUGUUCCAUCUGAGGACGUUUGUGAAUCGGAUCAGUUGGUCUGCAGUGGAACGACCUCGUCGGAAGCCAAACGAUUCCCCAAGCAAUAUAUUAGUUUGGUUGAAGAAGAAGGAUCCUUUCCAGACUUCCGAAUGGGUGUUACUAGCUUACUUCCACGACGGGGGGAAGUAGUUGAUUUGAAGGCACUGAUAAAAAAUCAGUGUCAUAUGACACAUUCCACGUACUUCUACGCCAAGGCACAGUGGCUGAUUUCGUCAUAUUAGCGCGCUUAAUUAAUAACUUUUUUACUAUGAAGUUUAGCGUCAUGGUGUCUUCGGGAAAGUUUUUCACUAUAAUAAGGAGCUUCCUUUGAGCUUCUGUGAAAAAUGAUCCAUCCCCCUAAAAGUGAGAUAGAAAAUUUAUUUUUUGAAUUUUUCAAGAUACGAGGUUGGUGUCUUCACAAAAGUUGUAGAAAAUGUUGUUUGGAGCAACUUUGCCGAAGACACCAAGUUUGUAACUCCGUUACUUUUCAAGAUACGUUACGUUUUCUUUCAUCAGCCCCUUGAAAAAGGUUUUUGCGUAAUAACUUUCUAAAAAUUGAUUCUACAUUUUUCUCGUGUUCUACAAAGUUAUAAAUAAUGGUAAAACACACAACUUUGCCGAGCAUGACAUCCCACUAAUUCCAAAAUUAAAAUAGUUAUAACGGUUUUUAUAGUUUUUGGGCCAUAUUUCAAGCAUAUAUAACUUAGCUAUAGGCAAUUAUAUGCAAAUUUCUUUUUACGCAUGUGAAAGUACAUGUAAUUGCCUCUCUUAGAAAAUCAAAACCAUCAAACUGUAAGAAACUGUAAGAUGGUUUUUGUAUAGAAACUUACAUCCAUUUAUGUUACUCUUAUAUGGGAUUUAUAUAUAUUUUCAACAUAUUUAUUUGAUAUUUCAUAUCAGCUUGCAUUGUAAGUGUGUGUUAAUAUAAAGAAAGGUUUGUGGUGUAUUCUGGAUCAUUCAUGAAGUACGUUACAUAAAAACUUACCAUCUAUUUCUUUUGUCGUACUAACUCAAGUGCUCCACGUAGUCCACGAAAAGAGCGAAUGAAGCCCAUUUCUUUAAAAAAAAUCCAAACAUGCGCGUGACAUGUUCUUUGAACGCUCUCACUAGUACAUAUCUACACAUGUCUACAUGGGUUAUAGUAAAAUAUAAAUUUUAUUGCACUUCAAAGAAAGCUGCUGUUAAAUCGUGAUCCGACGAAAGAUUUUUUACUUUAUGCGUUUUUUUUCGUGAACUACGUGGAGCAUUGUGAGUUAGUAAAUAGAAGUAGAUGGUGAGUUUUUAUGUAACGUACUUCAUGAAUGAUCCAGAAUACACCACAAACCUUUCUUUAUAUUAACACACACUUACAAUAACAAUAAAAAUGCAAGCUGAUAUGAAAAACCAAAUAAAUAUGUUGAAAAUCUAUAUAAAUCCCAUAUAGGAGUAACAUAAAUAAAGGGUGAUACGGUCAAAAUUUGGUCACACAAUUUUUUUCAUAUCUUUAGACUGCGUACACCAAAACAGCUGAUUUUUGGACCAGUAAUGCUACAUUAUAUGUAGCUUAUACCAUAAAAUUUUCAUCAAAAUCGAUUAAGUAUUGGUUGAUAUAUAGAUAAAACCAUCGACCUACCUUUUUAAAAUUUUGUACAAAGGCGCUCCGUAGUAAAUUUUCGAAAAUUUAAAGUCAGUAAAGCACAAUUUUGAUUAUAGAACUACCAAUACUGCUCCGAUUUUUAUCAAAAUUUUACAGUAUAAUACUAUUAUGAAAAUAUGUUCUUAGUAAAAUUUUGAGCCAUUUUGUAGGAAUACUUUCAAAGUUGUAGCAGUUUGAAUAUGAAAAAAACUGACCGGGUGCCACUUAAGCAAAUAUAACUUUGUAACGGCUGGAUCAAAUUGAAUGAAAUUUUUACACAACAUUUUGAUAUGCAUACUUCACAUACAGAAAAAUUUUCAUUGAAAUCGGUUAAGUAUCUCUGGCUCUAUAAAUAAAACACUUAAAAUGUGUGAAUCCUCUUUGCACAAAAUUUUAAAAUUGCAGAUCUCAGGGUUCAACAAUAUAUCCGCAAAUACGAGACCGAUUUUGAUGAAAAUUUUAUGGUACAAGCUACAUAUAAUGUACCAUUACUGAUCCAAAUAUCAGCUGUUUUGGUGUACGCAAUCUAAAGUUAUAAAAAAAAAAUGUGUGACCAAAAUUUGACUUGACAUGGCAAAAUUUGAGAAAACUUUACCACCUAAACAAAUAUAACUUCGUAACGGCUGGAUCAAAUUGAAUAAAAUUUUUACACAACAUUUUGAUAUGUAUACUUUACAUACAGAAAAAUUUUCAUUGAAAUUGGUUCAGUAUUUCUGGCUCUAUAAAUAAAAAAGUAAAAAUGUGUUCCUAUUUUUUAAUCCUCUUUGUACAAAAUUUUAAAAUUGCAGUUUUCAGGAUUCACAAUAUCUCCGCAAAUACUACGAUUUUGAUGAAAAUUUUAUGGUAUAAGCUACAUAUAAUGUACCAUUACUGGUUCAAAAAUCAGCUGUUUUGGUGUACGCAGUCUCAAGUUAUGAAACAUAUUGUGUGACCAAAUUUUGACCGUAUCACCCUUUAGAUGUAAGUUUCUAUACAAAAACCAUCUUACAGUCUCUUACAGUUUGAUGAUUUUGGCUUUCUAAGAGAGGCAAUUACAUGUAUUUUCACAUCUGCAAAAGGAAAUUUGCAUAUAAUUGCCUAUAGCUAAGUUAUAUAUGCUUGAAAUAUGGCCCAAAAAACUAUAAAAACCGUUAUAACUAUUUAAAUUUUGGAAUUAGCGGGAUGUCAUGUUCGGCAAAGUUGUGUGUUUUACCAUUAUCUAUAACUUUGUAGAACAUGAGAAAAAUUUAGAAUCAAUAUUUAGAAAGUUAUGGCGCAAAAACCUUUUUCAAGGGGCUGAUGAAAGAAAACGUAACGUAUCUUGAAAAGUAACGGAGUUACGAACUUGGUGUCUUCGGCAAAGUUGCUCCAAACAACAUUUUCUACAACUUUUGUGAAGACACCAACCUCGUAUCUUGAAAAAUUCAAAAAAUAAAUUUUCUAUCUCACUUUUAGGGGUGUGCUGGCACCACUGCUAAGGGACAGGCGAAAUCGAAAGGUUUGACAGACUUGACAUUAUGAAGACAUCUGUCAAAGCAGAAUGAGACGACAAAAAUAUGAAAACUAAACCAGGUUGGAAGUAAUUAAAAUUGUUCCUUAAAUUUGUUGAAAUUAUCGUUAUAGAAUUACAGCUAUAUUUUCCUUAAAAGUAGUAAACGAAGAAUUGAAUUAAAACUACGUAAGUUACUAUGGUUUGAACUUAAAUCUAGGACGGGCAGAGAACAUUAAUUUAUAAACUAAAAUUUGUUACCUAUUCCUUAGUGAUUUGGAGAAUAGUGGCUUACCACUACCUUAAAUCAAACCAAACUGUAAUUAUCUGGCAUAAUUCCGAUCCAAAAUCGUGAAACUUGUGAGUAUUAUUGAAUCUGUAAAAAACUAGACGCGAUAAAAUUAUUGAAAUCUACAUUAGGCUAGGUAAAAUCAGUCUACAACUACACUGUCCGCAGCACGAGGUUGGCAGAAAUAAACUACUUCUUGUGAGUUACUUUGAUGUUACCUACAUGAACAAUCAAAAUUAUAAUAAAUAAAUAUUUAGUUUUAGCUUCUACAAAAGCUGCUGGAAAAAAUAUAGUGUUUCUGACACCAGUCCGAACAAUUUCUAAAAAAGAAGUAACUGGACCUAACCCCAACGCGAUGACGGAUGGAAACGUAGAUCUCACACUGACUGCUUGCAGUUCCUGUGGGCAAACAUCGGAUACCAACGAGCAGAUGGUUGGCUGUGAUUCCUGCAAAGGUUGGUUCCAUUGUCGGUGCGUCAAUGCCACAGAAGCUGACUUGGCUGAACCGAAGUGGUUUUGCUCCGCGGAUGAGUGUCAACGCCAGAAAAAAGGAACCACAAAAAGGAGCAGCAAGACGUCCAAAAAGGCUUCUGGACAUACGUCGGACUCCGAUAAGACGAGUGUUAAAUCGGACCGCCAAGUUGGACCGCAUCUUUCCCGAAUCAUGCAAACGUUGCAGAAUGAGCAGAAGUCCAAAGAUGAAGAGCUGCAAAUGGAACGGAUCAUGAGAGAGAAGCGCAUCGAGAUGGAUCUAGAGUUCAAGAAAAAACGUAUGGCCAUGGAGAAACAGAUGAGGGACAGAGAGAUGGAAUUGGAGAGGGAGUUGCUUGAACAGUCACUCGCACAGGAAAAGGAGCAUUUAGACCGGCUGAAGCUGAUGAGACUGCAGUAUCGAUCUCAAAUGGAUCAAGUCCAGCAGGAGAUAAAACAGUUGAACACAACGUCCGACGCUGAUGAAACUCCGAAGACAGUUGAUCGGAAUCGAGCCUUUCUAGGAGAGAGCUCUCGAGCGACUUUCGUCAACGCGGAUGCCACAAAUGUAUCUGUUCGAUCGAACUUGUCAAAGUUCAAGCCACUCGCCCCAAGUAAACAGAGUCAUGAAACCGAAAGCGACGAUAGCGAUGAGACGUCUGACAGCGAGUCUUCAGAGGAGGAGUCUGAAGAGGAUGAAUCGGAUUUAGAAGCGGAGAAACCAAGAAUGGGACCGUCCAAGGCUCAGCUGGCGGCUAGAAACGGAAUUACGAAAAGGUUACCCAUUUUCACCGGAAAGCCCGAAGAAUGGCCGUUAUUCAUCGGGGCAUUUGAAGCAUCGACGGAAGCAUGUGGUUUCAGCGAAGUCGAAAAUCUUGUCCGCUUGCAAGAGAGCUUAAAAGGGCCGGCUUUAGAAAGCGUUCGUUGCCAACUUCUGUUGCCAAAAUCCGUUCCUCGCGUCAUAAAGAAGUUGCGUCAGUUAUAUGGAAGGCCGGAGCAGCUGCUCCAAUGCCACCUGGAGCGAAUUCGGAAGUUGGACUCACCGAAGGCGGAUAAGCUCGCAAGCUACGUUCCGUUUGGCAACGCCGUAGAGCAGCUCUGCGAUCACCUCAAGAUGGCCGGACUAAAGGAACAUCUAGUGAACCCUCUUCUUCUACAAGAUUUGGUAGACAAGCUACCGUCUGGUGACAAACGCGAAUGGGUUCGAUAUAAGAAGAAGAAGAAGUCUGUGACGCUGUGUACGCUUUCGAAAUUCCUAUCGAAAAUCGUAGCUGAGGCGUGCGAAGCCAACGUUUCGUUAGAGAUCAAACCAGAUCCAAGGGUUUCUGUGUCGACGAAGGCCACCAAAGGGAUAUCGAAGGGAGCCGUGUUCAACCACAGUUCGUUGGAACCUUCCAAUAAAAGCGACGAUGCAAGACGGUCACAAAAGCCGUGUAUAGUGUGCCAACGCAAUGAUCAUCGUCUGAGAUAUUGCGAAGACUUUAAAAAACUGCCUGCGGCCGAUCGCAUCAAGCUAGCGCAGCAAAAAAAGCUUUGCAAGGUGUGCCUCAACGACCACGGGAAUGCUGAGUGUAAAUUCAAGCUACGUUGUAAUGUUGGCGACUGCCAACAACGCCACAAUCCGCUUCUGCAUCCCCCGCAAACGACGUUAGCGAUUAAUGCACAUGUACGAGUGAACGGUUCAAUUCUUUUCCGUAUGCUACCCGUUAUGCUGCACUGCGGACAAAAGUCUGUGAGCACUCUGGCAUUCCUCGAUGAAGGUGCGUCGGUAACACUGAUUGAGCAGCAUUUGGCGGAUAAAAUUGGCGCAAGCGGCGUGAAUCUCCCGUUAACAAUCAACUGGACUUCAGAUAUUUCCAGAACUGAAAGCGACUCGAUCUGCACAAAUUUAUGGAUUUCAUCCCCUGGAAGCAACGAGAAGAAUCUGCUGAAGACGGUGCAGACGGUUCGUGAGUUGCUUCUUCCUGCACAAUCACUUGAAUCCACGGAAAUGGCGAAGCGAUAUGCUUUUCUGCGUGACGUGCCUUUCCUUUCCUAUCAAAGUGGGCGCCCAGGACUAUUGAUCGGGCUAAACAAUAUCCACGUCAUUGCACCAAUCGAAACCAAACUAGGUGGACCGGGAGAACCAAUCGCGGUGAAAUCAAAACUAGGCUGGACCGUGUAUGGUCCACAAAUGGGAGAAACUAUAAGCGAAGCCUUAGUGGGUCAUCACGCAGUGAGCAACCAAGCAAUUCAUGAUCUCAUAAAAGUGCAUUAUGCCCUCGAAGAAUCGGCGACAGCUGUACUCCAAGAAUCGAAGGAAGAUCGAAGAGCCCGUGACAUCCUGGAACGGACGACGAAACGCAUAGGAGACCGUUUUGAGACGGGACUUCUAUGGAGAGCUGACGAUAUAGUGUUCCCGAAUAGCUUCCCGAUGGCCCUUCGGCGUUUGGAACAUCUGGAACGACGUUUAGAAAAAACACCUGAAUUGUACGAGAUUGUAAGACAACAAGUGAUCGAAUACCAGAACAAGGGGUACGCGCAUCGAGCAACGACUGAAGAACUGACCAAAAUGGAUCGUCGCAGGAUGUGGUAUCUGCCUUUGAACGUGGUUCUAAACCCAAAGAAGCCCGGCAAAGUUCGCCUGGUGUGGGAUGCGGCGGCACGCGUCGAUGGCGUUUCUCUAAACUCGCAGCUCCUAAAAGGACCCGAUUUGCUGACUGCAUUACCGGAAAUCGUAUGCCGCUUUCGAGAGCGACCGGUUGCCUUUGGUGGAGACAUCAGAGAGAUGUACCACCAAUUGAGAAUACGCGAGGUGGAUAAAUCGGCUCAGCUAUUUCUGUUCAGAGCGAAACGUACAGAUGAACCGGCCAUCUACAUAAUGGAUGUUGCCACAUUUGGCGCCACAAGUUCUCCGUGUUCUGCUCAGUUCAUAAAGAACCUGAAUGCUCUUGAAUUCUCCAACGAGUUUCCAAGCGCAGCGGAAGCAAUCAUCAAAAGCCACUAUGUCGAUGAUUAUUUCGACAGUGUGGACUGCGUAGCAGAAGCUGUUCAACGAGCGAAAGAUGUGGCACACGUGCAUGCAAAAGGAGGAUUCCUAAUUAGAAAUUGGGUGUCCAACUCUGAGGAAGUGCUUCGCAACCUCGGAGAACAGGAAGUUACCACCAAGGUUCGUUUGACGCAGGACAAAAGCAUCGAAACCGAACGCAUCCUGGGAAUCGUAUGGAAUCCGACUGAGGACACCUUCGCGUUUUCUGCAAAUCACCGACAGGAUCUUGAGGAGUUUCUCGUAGGAGACGAAAGACCUACAAAGCGUAUCAUCCUCAGCUGUGUAAUGGGAUUUUUUGACUCCCAAGGUAUGUUUUCUCAUUACACGGUGCACGGUAAGCUUAUUGUGCAAAACCUAUGGCGACUGGGUUAUGAUUGGGACGAAACAGUGAACGACGAUACUUGGGCAGAUUGGAAGCGAUGGACUGCUCUUUUACCAUGCGUGGAAUCAGUAAGAAUUCCACGGGCCUAUUUCGGUAGUCUACGAUCAGACGAAAUCGAUUUCCUCGAAUUACACGUGUUCACUGACGCUAGUGAACAUGCGUAUGGAACAGUGGCGUACUUCAGAGCAACGGUGAACGGAACGUACAAGUGUGCGUUAGCCAUGUCACGAUCGAAGGUAGCACCACUAAAAAGGCAAUCAAUUCCCCGGCUGGAGCUUUUGGCUGCGGUAUUGGGAGCUCGACUAUUGCGCACUGUCGAAUCUAGUCACACACUGCCUGUUCAUCGACGAUUUCUGUGGACAGACUCACAAACUGUGUUAAGCUGGAUUCGUUCAGAUCAAUACAAAUAUAAACAAUUUGUUGCCUUUAGAAUCGGAGAGAUUCAUGAAUUAACCAACAUUGCAGAUUGGCGCUGGGUACCAAGUAACCAAAAUAUCGCAGACGUUCUGACCAAAUGGGGCCAAGGACCCCCACUUGAAUCAAAUGGUCCGUGGUUUGCAGGUCCACAGUUCUUGUAUCAACCUGAAGAGAACUGGCCAAUUCAAAAACUUCCGCUGACCAAUAUUGCCGAAGAAAUGCGUGCUCAUUUGCUGUUCCACGACACAACUAGUCACGAAUUACCACUAAUUCACGUUCAUUUGAUGUCACAGUGGACUCGCAUCGUCAGAGCAACUUCUUACGCGCUAAGGUUUGCUGCAAAUUGUCGUCGCAAGCAAAAGGGCGAACCGAUUUGGACUACGAAGGCAGUUGGGAGUCGGACGAAAUUGCUAAAAUUACAAUGGCCCAACAUCUGCUGGCCGUUACAACAAGAAGAGUUCCUGAAAGCAGAAACAGUGUUAUGGAAACAGGCCCAAUUCGCUGGUUUCCCGGACGAAGUAUGUACGUUGAAGCGAGCACAGAAAACGAAUGUAACAUCGGCGAAAAUUGAAAAAGGAAGUCUUCUGUAUAAAUUGACUCCCGUUAUGGACGACAAUGGAGUCAUACGUGUAGGAGGCAGGCUGGAAAAGGCGGAAUUUCUGCCAUUCGAUACCAAAUUUCCAAUCAUCCUUCCUAAAGAUGACGUCAUCACAAAAAGAUUGGUGCAACACUAUCAUGAGCAGUUCGGACACGCAAACCGCGAAACAGUGUUUAAUGAAAUGAGGCAACGCUUCUACGUUCCAAAACUGCGUUCCGUAAUUCUGAAAGUUAUGAACGACUGCAUCUGGUGUCGGGUCUACCGAUGCUCACCCAAAAUUCCCAAGGAAGCACCACUACCUGUUCCACGUGUGACGGCCCACCUGCGACCAUUCAGUUCAGUUGGAGUUGACUAUCUUGGGCCGAUAGAGGUUACAGUUGGGCGACGGAAGGAGAAAAGAUAUGUCGCCUUAUUCACUUGCUUGGCAAUAAGGGCAGUUCACGUUGAGGUGGUCUUCAGCUUAACUGCCCAGGCAUGCCUAAUGGCGAUUCGGCGAUUUUGCUGUAGAAGAGGCGUUCCAGAGGAAUUUGUAUCCGACAACGCUACGAACUUCAAAAGUGCUAGUAAAGAGCUGGCUAAAACCAUCAAUGACGAAUGCGCUGAUCGCGUCACCAGUUCCAGGACUAAAUGGACCUUCAUUCCUCCCGGUACCCCACACAUGGGAGGGGCCUGGGAAAGAAUGGUCCGUUCAGUGAAAGAAGCUCUACACGUUUUUGAUGAUGGCAGAAAAUUGACCGACGAAAUUCUUCUUACAACCUUGGCAGAAGCUGAGGACAUGAUUAACUCUCGUCCGCUAACUUAUGUCCCUCAGGAAUCCGCAGAAAUAGAAGCAAUCUCACCGAAUCAUUUUUUGCGAGGUGCAGUACGGGCCGAAGAUUUAGAGGUUGAUCAGGUCAUCGACUUUGCAGGAACGCUUCGAGAUGUCUACAAGAGAUCACAAUAUCUUGCCGAUCAACUCUGGAUUCGCUGGUCAAAGGAGUAUUUGCCGUCCAUAAACCAUCGUACAAAAUGGUUUGAGGACAAGGGUUCGAUCCGAGCAGGAGAUCUAGUAUUCGUGGCAGAUGGACGCAUUCGAAAGUCGUGGACAAGAGGAAUUGUCGAAGAGGUAUUUCCAGGAUCUGAUGGUCGAGUUCGGCAAGUCACUGUGAGGACAUCUGGUGGCGUGUUCAAGCGUGCAACCGUAAACUUGGCAGUGCUGGAGAUUAGAGACGGUAAAUCCGGAACGGCCGGGGGUUCCGCACCGGAGUUACGGCCGGGGGAAUGUGCUGGCACCACUGCUAAGGGACAGGCGAAAUCGAAAGGUUUGACAGACUUGACAUUAUGAAGACAUCUGUCAAAGCAGAAUGAGACGACAAAAAUAUGAAAACUAAACCAGGUUGGAAGUAAUUAAAAUUGUUCCUUAAAUUUGUUGAAAUUAUCGUUAUAGAAUUACAGCUAUAUUUUCCUUAAAAGUAGUAAACGAAGAAUUGAAUUAAAACUACGUAAGUUACUAUGGUUUGAACUUAAAUCUAGGACGGGCAGAGAACAUUAAUUUAUAAACUAAAAUUUGUUACCUAUUCCUUAGUGAUUUGGAGAAUAGUGGCUUACCACUACCUUAAAUCAAACCAAACUGUAAUUAUCUGGCAUAAUUCCGAUCCAAAAUCGUGAAACUUGCUAGGUAAAAUCAGUCUACAACUACACUGUCCGCAGCACGAGGUUGGCAGAAAUAAACUACUUCUUGUGAGUUACUUUGAUGUUACCUACAUGAACAAUCAAAAUUAUAAUAAAUAAAUAUUUAGUUUUAGCUUCUACAAAAGCUGCUGGAAAAAAUAUAGUGUUUCUGACACCAGUCCGAACAA